RNAcentral lists this long non-coding RNA (333 nucleotides) under Callithrix jacchus (white-tufted-ear marmoset). RNAcentral describes it as "lncRNA (ENSCJAG00000074886.1)". Lineage: Eukaryota; Metazoa; Chordata; Mammalia; Primates; Cebidae. The record is from RNAcentral.
AUGAAAGGAAGAUUUAGUACAUGUGGCAAACUUCAUUGUCUUAUAUCAAGAAACUGCCACAGUCAUCCAACCUUCAACAACUACUCUCCUGAUGAAUCAGCGACUAUCAACAUUGAGACAAGAGUCUCUAGAAGCAUUGAAGACUCAGAUGAUGGAAUCGCUGUCCAUUGUUCCUUCCUAGCCGGUCAUGGACACAAUCAGCGGAUCCACAAGAGCAUGCUGAAAAUGAGCAAGUCCGACAAAGGGAAACAGGUUUGCUGUCACUCCUACAGCAGCAGCUGGGAAGCUUCCAGUUUUCCUGUAUGAUUCUAAUGGAAUGGAUGAAAAGAGGUG